UGUGUGUGUGUGUGUGUGUGUGUGUGUGUGAGGCCUAGAUCCUGCGCAGAGGGUGCCACAUGGACACCGGCUUCCUCAGCGUGGCGAGCAUCUGUUUCCAAUGGGUGAUGCCCAUCCCGCUGGCCUCGGGGCCGAUGAUCACGUGACCCAGGUUCUCGCCCCGGCCGUCGUCUGUGGCCUCGGCCACCGUCACCCUGAGGGAGAGCUCCUGCAAACAGAACAACACGGUUACACAAGCUGCUAUGCACCUCAGCCUAGGAUACUGUUCCUGAUUUAAAUAACGUAGAGCCAGGCGUUGAACGGUCUGAUGGUCAGGUCCAGGUCGGACAGUUUGAGAUCUGCCACCCCCGCACUGAUGUUUCUCUCCUCAGCAUCGAUACCGAAGGCGGCACAACGCAGACUGUACUCCUCCAGCAGGGACGAGUCCAUGGGGAUGGAGAAGUGCUCGUCAAAAAGCACUGUGUAUGCAUUCGCCUGGAUCUGUGAGAGGCAAAAAAUGAUUCAAAUGUUAGAAUGUAUAUAUUUAUUACUUGUUAGAUUCACCUCCCAGAUAUUUGACUAUUAAAGGGGGGUCAUCUGAGUUUCAGUAAGUUGAUUGCUACUUAAUUAGUAUCACAAAUCAACACAGAUGUAAUUAAAACUCUUGCACAUAAAUCACUGUUUAAGAUGAAUGACAAGAAUCAGGCAAUAAUUUAACUUAACAAAAGAAGAUGUUGUGUAGGCAUUAAAAUCUGUUAUUCUCUCAUCCUC
This is a long non-coding RNA of Gymnodraco acuticeps, 750 nucleotides long. RefSeq lists it as uncharacterized. The transcript is spliced from 3 exons. The record is from RefSeq and is a predicted model, not a curated record. NCBI's taxonomy places the organism in Eukaryota, Metazoa, Chordata, Actinopteri, Perciformes, Bathydraconidae.